AAGUAGUACUUUUUAGGAAACUUAUAUAUUUUGGCGGCCUAUAUUCUUUUUAGAGGAACUUGUUAAUUAAUCGAUAAUGCCCGCUCAAUCUCCCUUUUCUUUACAUUUUUAUACCGCCGUCAUUUUAAAAAUAAAACUUUUUUUUAAUUUCUGUUUAAACCUUCUCGUCAGGUCAAGGUGAAGUCUAUAAAAAAGAUUUAAUGAGUUACUUAUAAAAAAAAUUUAUAGAUAUUAUUUAAAAAAAUUUAAUUAAAUAAGGAUCUAAAAGUAAUUUUUAUUCAAAAUAUAAUUAUGAACUAGACCAACAGGUGU
This 312-nucleotide ribosomal RNA is filed under the name Allothele australis. Its description in RNAcentral is "partial 12S ribosomal RNA". Lineage: Eukaryota; Metazoa; Arthropoda; Arachnida; Araneae; Euagridae. The record is from RNAcentral.